Molecule: long non-coding RNA, 3051 nt
Organism: Anolis carolinensis (green anole)
Lineage: Eukaryota; Metazoa; Chordata; Lepidosauria; Squamata; Anolidae
Exons: 2
Source: RefSeq, a predicted model, not a curated record
CCCCCCCUCCCUCCCUCCCCCCCUCCUCGCCGUGAGUCUGCCAUGACAGUCAAGGGCGGACCACCCCUGGCCACGACUUCCUGGGAGGCCUGGCUUGUCAAAGGGACUUGGGAAAACUACGUCUCUCCUUGCUCACGCUGCCUUGGGGUGCAACAGUAACAGUAGGACAGAAGACCCCCCAGAUGGAUGGAACGGGAGUUGUGGGAGAGGCCCCCUCGGAAACUAAACGGUUGGAGAAGGUCAAUCCGAUGGAGUGAAUACUGCAGACCUUUUCUUUCCAGCUUAAUGAGAUGAGAAAGGAGGUGGUGGCAUCCUGGAUGGCCGUCACAGAGCAGAGAGAUCAAAGACAGGCCUGAUCCCAGGGAGAAGCAGCAUCCAGGCUGACGGGUCGAGUGGUGUUUGCAGAUACGGCGGAAGGCACGAAGCAGCAAGGCACUUCUGCUUACCAGAAAGGACUGUUGGUGAGAAGCCAGUUGCAAGUGACUCCUGACAGGGGAGAGCUACACAUGAAGUUUAAUGAAAUGCAAAGAUACAGAAUGGGGGACGAUGCCUAACUUGACAGCAGUUCUUGUGAAAAAGAUCUUGGAGUCCUCGUGGACAAGAAGUUAAACAUGAGCCUACAAUGUGAUGCGACAGCAAACAAAAAGCCAAGGGGACUUUUGCCUGCAUAAAUAGGAGUCUAGUGUCUACAUCCAGGGAAGUCAUGUUCCCCUCUAUUCUGCCUUGGUCAGACCACACCUGGAAUCACAUUGUGUCCCAUUCUGGGCAAUGUAAUUGGAGGGAGAUGUUGACAAGCUGGAAUGUGUUCAGAGGAGGGCAACUAAAAUGAUCAAGGAUCUGGAGAACAAGCCCUACGAGGAGAGGCUUAAAGAACUGGGCAUGUUUAGCCUGCAGAAGAGAAGGCUGAGAGGAGACAUGAUGAGGGCCAUGUAUAAAUACGUGAAGGGAAGUCCUAGGGAGGAGGGAGCAAGCUUGUUUUCUGCUGCCCUGCAGACUAGGACGCAAUGGAGCAAUGCCUUCAAACUACAGGAAAGGAGAUUCCACCUGAACAUCAGGAAGAACUUCCUCACUGUGAGAAGGGCUGUUCGGCAGUGGAACUCUCUCUCUGCCCCGGACUGUGGUGGAGGCUCCUUCCUUGGAGUCUUUUAAGCAGAGGCUGGAUGGCCAUCUGUCGGGGGUGCUUUGAAUGCGAUUUCCUGCUUCUUGGCAGAAAGGGGUUGGACUGGGUGGCCCAUGAGGUCUCUUCCAACUCUAUGAUCCUAUGACCCAACGCAGCUCUCUUACUUCGCAACAAACGUGAGGCAUUUUAUAAAGGACAAUGGUGAUCAUUUCCCUUCGGGAAGGGUUAGGAUCCGUGCUGUAGGGGCCAAUUUAAAAAGCCCCGCUGCAGAUUGGCUGAUGCAGAUGUAGGACACCAGGGCGAGGGGAUGACUUCCUGAGGGCCUUGAGGGAUAGGUUCCAGGACCCCUUGGCUGAAGCGAAGGCCAAAGGAGAGUUAAAGAGAUUUACCAAGGGAGUAAGACGGUGUCUGAAUACACUUUGGAUUUUAUGCUGUGAUUCUAUGUCUCAGGGGAAAAGGGGAGUUUUGUGUAAUGUAUGUGUCCAUUGUGAUGACAUAGGAAUUUUGUCCGCAGUUCGGGCUGUGUCAAAGGUUAUGGCUGGUGUAGAAAUGUUUUAUUAAUGACAGAAAGAGAUACAUUAUUAUAAUAAUAAGACUUUAUUUCUCUUUCGCCCUCUCUAUCUCCCCGAAGGGACUCGGGACAGAUUCCAACAAACAACAGCAUACAUUCGAUGCCUUCAAAAAACAGAUAAAUCUUGGCAUAAAAUCCCAACAAGACACCACAAAUGAAUACAGCGUUAAAAACCUAGCAUCCAAUUAAACCUAUUAUCACUGGACUGAAUAUAACAUCAAUAACCUAAACCAAUACAUUCUGACGGAAUCAGGCAAGAAUUAUAUAGUGACAUAAAAUCUAAAUAAACGUUCACAGUAAUUUACAAAAGCCAACGGAAGUUCAACACAGUUGUGUGGGUUGGAUUAUGUGGCCUAUGGUGGGAAAUUGGGCUGAAGUACGUAGACUAUCAGAGCCCAGACACAGCGUAGUUCUCAACCAGGAUCCAGAAUUAAUCCUCCUCCUCAUCUCCAUAUGCUAAUGACCAGAAGAAGGUCUUUAGUUGACUGCAGUACCCGGGCUAGUUUGUAAGAGGGGAUGCGAUCGGUCAAGUAGCCUGGACCCAAGGCAUUUUGGGCUUUAAAGGUACUGACCAGCACCUUGUAUUUAGCCCGGAAGGAGACCAGCAUCCCAUGGAGUUAAAUCACUGACCUGCUGAACUUAUUGACUGAAAGGUUGGAGGUUUGAAUCUGGAGAGAGGUGUGAGCUCCCGCUGUUAGCCCCAGCUUCUGCCAACCUAGCAUUUCAAAAACAUACAAAUGUGAAUAGAUCAAUAGGUACCGCUCUGGUGGGAAGGUAACGGCGCUCCAUGCAGUCAUGCCAGCGGCCACAUUACCUUGGAGGUGUCUAUGGACAACGCCGGCUCUUCGGCUUAGAAAUGGAGAUGAGCACCACUCCCCAGAGUCAGACUCGACUAGACUUAACAUCAAGGGCAAACCUUUACCUUUGGAUCCUACUGGGAACAUAUCUAUCUUAUUCAUUGGAAGUUUAUCAUUUUUCCAAGCAUGUCAUUGUUGAGGUCAAAUGACCUCCUUUUUAAUCCCCCCCCCCAAUUUUCCCCAUUAGACACAAUUCUUAUCCAUUUAUUAGACUCUCUAAUCUGGCCCAUCUUUUGGGCUCGCCAAUGUCCAGUUCAAGUAACCUGGCCAACUGGCAAGGUUCAAAGUAGUUUUGGAGGCAAGGUUCUCCCCAGGCUCCACUUUCUUGUGGAGUAAAGAAUACUGAAAUAGCGAUUCUGUUCUUACUGGAGCCAACUCUCCACGUUUUGAUUGAAUUGACUCAUUUUUUGAUUGUUUUAGGUGGGAUGCAAAAUGGGAGGGUUUGGAAUAAGUAUAAAAAUUUAGGUAAUAUCAUUUUGAUGCCUUCAGCCUAGUUGUAAUGU